RNAcentral lists this ribosomal RNA (301 nucleotides) under uncultured bacterium. RNAcentral describes it as "partial 16S ribosomal RNA". It matches the Rfam family "Bacterial small subunit ribosomal RNA", at positions 509 to 807 of the family's 1533-position model. The record is from RNAcentral.
CAGCAGCCGCGGUAAUACGAGGGGGGCAAGCGUUGUUCGGAAUUAUUGGGCGUAAAGGGUGCGUAGGCGGCUUGACAAGUCUUGCGUGAAAUCUAUGGGCUCAACCCAUAGUCUGCACGGGAAACUGUCGGGCUUGAGAAUGAGAGAGGUGAGUGGAAUUCCGAGUGUAGAGGUGAAAUUCGUAGAUAUUCGGAAGAACACCAGUGGCGAAGGCGGCUCACUGGCUCAUUCUAGACGCUGAGGUGCGAAAGCGUGGGGAGCAAACAGGAUUAGAUACCCGCGUAGUCCCUGUCUCUUAUAC